Molecule: long non-coding RNA, 1376 nt
Organism: Trifolium pratense (red clover)
Lineage: Eukaryota; Viridiplantae; Streptophyta; Magnoliopsida; Fabales; Fabaceae
Exons: 7
Source: RefSeq, a predicted model, not a curated record
AAUUUGUUUCUUUACACACAUAUUUUCCCAAAAACAUAACAUUUCACUAAAACGAAAAGCAAAAUGAGUGAGACGAUUCCGACACCUAAUCGCACAAUACGCCGCCGUCAAUCCUCCUCCGCUGUUCAAUCUCCUCCGCCACCGUUUAUUCUCCUCCGCCGCUGUUUAAUCUGGAAGCACAAUCCGUCAAUCUCUCGGUUGUUCUCCUUCAAACCCUACUCCGUCGAAGAACCACAACCCCUCCGCCGUUCUCUGUCGUUCUUUGCAUUUCCAAGGAAGGAACCAACUACACACUCCUCCAUAAAUAUGUUUUUGUCAUGGAAGUAAGCUUAUGAAAGAUUGUGAUUAUUAAAGCAAGCUUUCAAGUUUCAAUUCAGGUGUUUGCUAACAGGGGUCAUAUGGUUUUUGAUCCAGUCAUUGACUAAUAGCAUCUCUUCAACAAGGUUUGUCUUCUACAUUUAGCCUGGAUUUUUAAACCUUGUUGAAGGAGAAAGACAAAUUCAAACCUGGAUCUAAGGUAGAAGAAAAUUAAGGGUUGUUUAAGAACAAGUGGAGUAGCAGCAAAAGCUGUGUUUCUGUUACUAAACAACUCGUCUAGUGAGAAGCAUCAUCGCCUAGCGAGGACAGCAGCGUGCUCUGCCUCUGUGUGUUGUUCUUUCCCCUAUCCAACAAUUCUUGAUCAUAGGUAAGCAAACUCAAGCUCUUUUCCUUCUCUCCAGGAUUAUUCUAUACUUUUGGUGUUAGAAAUAUCACUAAUCCCAUUCUUGGUGAUUGUAUGUGGCUUGUUUGGAGAAAGAGGCUGUGAUUAAAGUAUUUGGAGCUGGGAAUUGAAUGAAAAUGGAAGGACAUGGCCAUUUGGAGAAAGCUUCACAUUGAGUAGGGUACUGUGCUCCCCCCCCAAAAAAAAACUGCAGCUAUUUAGGAGCGAGGCCGGGUUUCUCUCUUAUUUGACGUUGUAUGUUGUUUAGCUUAAAUUUUGGGACUUUCUUCUACUCUCAAGGAGUUUAAUUUCUCGCCGGGUUUGUUCAUGAAUAGUUUUAACAAGCGACAUCAUGUUUGUCUGUCAUCCUUUGAGCCAAAUAGGUUGGUUUUUGGAAAAAGUGAAAGAGGAAACCAACUAUCUAUUUCUCCUAAUCAAUGCCUCAAGUUUCAAAUGAGAAGAUUAGGUAAGUUUCUUUUGCUUCAACCCUUAAAAAUCAAUUCAGGGCUCUUUUUGUAUAAUAUUAUAAUUGAGUAAAUCGUCAUUUUAGUUCCUAAAUGUGUAAAGUUGUGUUUUGAUGACCUUAAUGAGUACAUUGGUAGAGAUUUUAUGAUUGUUAUCUUUGGUUUUGAUAUUUUAAUGAAUAUAUUGGUAGAGAUUUUAUGGUUGUGAGAAA